Molecule: ribosomal RNA, 519 nt
Filed under: uncultured bacterium
Lineage: Bacteria
Description: partial 16S ribosomal RNA
Rfam family: Bacterial small subunit ribosomal RNA
Source: RNAcentral
AACGAACGCUGGCGGCGCGCCUAACACAUGCAAGUCGCACGCGAAAGGGGGCAACCCUGAGUAAAGUGGCGCACGGGUGAGUAAUGCGUAGGUGAUCUACCUCUGCGACCGGAAUAACCAGCCGAAAGGUUGACUAAUACUGGAUAGAGCGCACUGAUCGUAAAGGUUGGUGCGGGAAAGGGCGGCUGUAGCAAUACAGCUGUCGCGCUGAGAUGAGCCUGCGUCUCAUUAGCUAGUUGGUAGGGUAAUGGCCUACCAAGGCUUUGAUGGGUAGCUGGUCUGAGAGGACGAUCAGCCACACUGGAACUGAAACACGGUCCAGACUCCUACGGGAGGCAGCAGUGGGGAAUCUUGCGCAAUGGACGAAAGCCUGACGCAGCGACGCCGCGUGGGUGAAGAAGGCCUUCGGGUUGUAAAGCCCUGUCGAGUGGGAAAAAUGGCAUCUGCAAUAAUACGGCAGGUGAUUGAUGGUACCACUAGAGGAAGCACCGGCUAACUCCGUGCCAGCAGCCGCGGUAA